AGAGGGGGCAAGCGUUGUUCGGAAUUACUGGGCGUAAAGCGCAUGCAGGUGGAUCGCUAAGUCAGGGGUGAAAGCCCGAGGCUCAACCUCGGAACUGCCUUUGAUACUGGCGAUCUUGAGUCCGGGAGAGGUGAGUGGAACUCCGAGUGUAGAGGUGAAAUUCGUAGAUAUUCGGAAGAACACCAGUGGCGAAGGCGGCUCACUGGCCCGGUACUGACACUGAGAUGCGAAAGCGUGGGGAGCAAACAGGAUUAGAUACCCUGGUAGUCCACGCCGUAAACGAUGGGUGCUAGCCGUCAGCCAGCAUGCUGGUUGGUGGCGCAGCUAACGCAUUAAGCGCCCCGCCUGGGGAGUACGAUCGCAAGAUUA
Molecule: ribosomal RNA, 369 nt
Filed under: uncultured bacterium
Lineage: Bacteria
Description: bacterial SSU rRNA
Rfam family: Bacterial small subunit ribosomal RNA
Source: RNAcentral